UUUUUCAUAUACAAAAUCCCUUUUUUCCCUUCCGAUCUUAAACAUGUGGGUUAAUUCUUCUCGACAUCUUUCCAAGCAUCGACAUAUCGUUCGUGUUCGAAGACUCGACAGGUUGAGAAGGUUAAGGAAAGGAGUAGGUAAUAAAACAUAUGUCCAAAUGAAGAACUUGAAGCUAUACGUGGAGAAUCAAAUCAUCAUGGAAGCGAACGAGAGGCUGAGAGAGAAAGCUCUUCUCCUUCACCAGGAAAACAAAACACUGUUGGCUCAGCUACAAAAGAAGUUCUCUAAUACCC
This is a long non-coding RNA of Hibiscus syriacus, 293 nucleotides long. RefSeq lists it as uncharacterized. The record is from RefSeq and is a predicted model, not a curated record. Lineage: Eukaryota; Viridiplantae; Streptophyta; Magnoliopsida; Malvales; Malvaceae. The transcript is spliced from 2 exons.